UAGAUCAGCUGGGAGCUGCAUUAGGU
This 26-nucleotide non-coding RNA is filed under the name Cricetulus griseus (Chinese hamster). The record is from RNAcentral. Lineage: Eukaryota; Metazoa; Chordata; Mammalia; Rodentia; Cricetidae.